RNAcentral lists this ribosomal RNA (180 nucleotides) under Triticum aestivum (bread wheat). RNAcentral's name for it is "partial small subunit ribosomal RNA". Lineage: Eukaryota; Viridiplantae; Streptophyta; Magnoliopsida; Poales; Poaceae. The record is from RNAcentral.
AAGGCUCUCACUUCGUUGAUGAUGUUGGUAUCUUGGGAGAUUUGGAAGGAAAGCAAUACGAGAGUUUUUCGAAACACCGCCGCACCCACCAUGUUAAUUGUCGGGAGGAUCAAGGAAGAGGCCCAUCUUUGGGCUCUAGCGGGUGCGAAAUACUUGAGUAAUGUAAUGCCGCGAGAGUAG